This 72-nucleotide transfer RNA is filed under the name Heterocephalus glaber (naked mole-rat). It matches the Rfam family "tRNA". Rfam says of the family: Transfer RNA (tRNA) molecules are approximately 80 nucleotides in length. Their secondary structure includes four short double-helical elements and three loops (D, anti-codon, and T loops). The record is from Rfam by way of RNAcentral. Lineage: Eukaryota; Metazoa; Chordata; Mammalia; Rodentia; Bathyergidae.
GAGGAUGUAGCUCAGUGGUAGAGUACGUGCUUAACAAGCAUGAGGUCCUGGGUUCUAUCCUCAGCAUCAUAU